This 71-nucleotide transfer RNA is filed under the name Bos taurus (domestic cattle). It matches the Rfam family "tRNA". From Rfam's summary of the family: Transfer RNA (tRNA) molecules are approximately 80 nucleotides in length. Their secondary structure includes four short double-helical elements and three loops (D, anti-codon, and T loops). Further hydrogen bonds mediate the characteristic L-shaped molecular structure. tRNAs have two regions of fundamental functional importance: the anti-codon, which is responsible for specific mRNA codon recognition, and the 3' end, to which the tRNAs corresponding amino acid is attached (by aminoacyl-tRNA synthetases). tRNAs cope with the degeneracy of the genetic code in two manners: having more than one tRNA (with a specific anti-codon) for a particular amino acid; and 'wobble' base-pairing, i.e. permitting non-standard base-pairing at the 3rd anti-codon position. Lineage: Eukaryota; Metazoa; Chordata; Mammalia; Artiodactyla; Bovidae. RNAcentral also lists the same sequence under 4 other names. The record is from Rfam by way of RNAcentral.
UCCUGAUGGCUCAGAUGGUAAAGAAUCUGCUUGUAAUGCAGGAGACUCAGGUUUGAUUCCUGAGUUGGGAA